RNAcentral lists this ribosomal RNA (331 nucleotides) under uncultured eukaryote. RNAcentral's name for it is "partial 18S ribosomal RNA". It matches the Rfam family "Eukaryotic small subunit ribosomal RNA", at positions 1470 to 1796 of the family's 1831-position model. The record is from RNAcentral.
CCCUUAGAUGUUCUGGGCCGCACGCGCGCUACACCGACGAAGUCAGCGAGCAUGUCCUACGCCGACAGGUGCGGGGAAUCUUGUCAAACUUCGUCGUGAUGGGGAUUGAUUUUUGAAAUUCUUGAUCAUAAACGAGGAAUUCCUAGUAAGCGCAAGUCAGCAGCUUGCGUUGAUUACGUCCCUGCCCUUUGUACACACCGCCCGUCGCUACUACCGAUUGAAUGGUUUAGUGAGAUCUUCGGAUUGGCGCCACUGCAGCUCAGCAAUGGGCUUGGUGGAUGCCGAAAAGUUGAUCAAACUUGAUCAUUUAGAGGAAGUAAAAGUCGUAACA